RNAcentral lists this ribosomal RNA (239 nucleotides) under uncultured Lactobacillus sp. Its description in RNAcentral is "partial 16S ribosomal RNA". It matches the Rfam family "Bacterial small subunit ribosomal RNA", at positions 125 to 355 of the family's 1533-position model. Lineage: Bacteria; Bacillati; Bacillota; Bacilli; Lactobacillales; Lactobacillaceae. The record is from RNAcentral.
CCGUAGCCCAAGAGAUCGGGAUAACACCUGGAAACAGAUGCUAAUACCGGAUAACAACAGAUGAUGCCUAUCAACUGUUUAAAAGAUGGUUCUGCUAUCACUCUUGGAUGGACCUGCGGUGCAUUAGCUAGUUGGUAGGGUAACGGCCUACCAAGGCGAUGAUGCAUAGCCGAGUUGAGAGACUGAUAGGCCACAUUGGGACUGAGACACGGCCCAAACUCCUACGGGAGGCAGCAGCC